Molecule: long non-coding RNA, 1680 nt
Organism: Notothenia coriiceps (black rockcod)
Lineage: Eukaryota; Metazoa; Chordata; Actinopteri; Perciformes; Nototheniidae
Exons: 3
Source: RefSeq, a predicted model, not a curated record
GUAACUCACGGGAGGCUUCUUUUAUUUUAUUUGUAUUCAUAAUCAUUUUUAUUUUUCGUCAGAAUGUAUUAUGGUGCAUUAUUUACCAAUGUUUGUUCUCAAAAAACGGUGCAUUUUUAUUAGAUUAGUUAUUUUUUAAGGAAGGCCAGAGCUUCAGCUGUGUCAAAUAGAUUGUUCCCUUUAGUUUACGUUAUUUAAAAGACAAUUAAAUUCAUAUUUGAUCAUUAAUAGUAAUAAUAAUCAUUUGUUUUAUAACAACGAUAAACCAGAAGAAGAUGCCGUCGUUACCACGGCAACGUUAUGUCGCGCUUGACGGCAGUGACGUAGCCACGUGACCUUGCCCACGAUCACGUCACUUUCAUUCAUUUCAUCUCACAACGGACUACAGUAAGUAUCUAAAAUCAAGGGGAGUUUAUUUCUUUAAAACACGAAAUGAUAUUGCUUUUAUUUAUUCCACUGUAGCACAGUCUCUAUAGCGUUUCAUUCCUGGAUAUUAUGUUAAGUUUUGUAGUGUGUUUAGCUUUUACAAUAGGCUACGCGCAAACUAGCGGCCACGUUCAGCUAGCCUCCGGCUUUCCGGUCAAAGUUUGUAGCUGGAUAGCAUUUAUAGUUUAUACAGCUAAAUGACAUUAGCUGUCCCCGAAAAAUAUGUUUAAAUGCUUGUAUUUGCCCAUGUGUUGUAAAGACAGCUUUCAACACAGAGUUGUAAUAGUGGAAUCGGCGAUGAUUUUUUGUAGUGUGUUUAGCUUUUACAAUAGGCUACGCGCAAGCUAGCGGCCACGUUCAGCUAGCCUCCGGCUUUCCGGUCAAAAGUUUGUAGCUGGAUAGCAUUUAUAUAGUUAUACAGCUUAAUAACAUUAGCUGUCGCCCCCAGUUGGAUAGUGGAGGUGCCUGCUAGAAAAAUAUGUUUAAAUGCUUGUAUUUGCCCAUGUGUUGUAAAGACAGCUUUCAACACAGAGUGUAAUAGUGGAAUCGGUGAUGGAGUGGAACAAAAAAUGUGGACCUGGAGUUUUUCCAGAGGAUUUGACUGGCCAGUGGGGACAUUGGGAUUGUUACAUUGUAGAAUUAAAAUAUAUAGUAGAGGAUAUAAGAUAUAUAAAUUAUACUAAAUAUUAUUGCAUAAUAGAGUAAUGCACAGAUUUAAUUAUUAUUGCACUCUCUUCAUUUUGUGUAUUGUUUGUAAUAUUGUGUCUGUAUUUUUUGUAUGCCAUGUCCCUCAUAAUAUAACAAUAUGCACAGUAUAAAAUUAUACUAAAUUAUUAUUGCAUAAUAGAGUGCACAGAUGUUACUGUUAUUCUAAAUAAUCCUAAUCAUGUUUUAUUUUUCCUGUUUUACAGCUUCUUAACAACUCUAUAUCACUAACACACACAUAUCCACACACACACACACAUAUAAAACCAACGGCACUUUUAAGAGCCAUUCUCUCUCUCUCACUGUCUCUCUUUCUAUCACUCUCUCACUUUCUCUUUCAAUCACUCCUCUCACGCUUCUCUUUUUCAAUACCUCUCUCUCACUUUCUCUUUUAAUCACUCACUCUCUCUUUGUAUGCCAUGGUCCCUCAACCGUGUGAGGGUCUUUGAGGAUCCCAAUGAGGCCAGGAUGCACAUGGCAGCAUUGAUUAGCGAGGCUCUGUGUCCAUGAGGCCAGGGCUACUGAAACCCUUCCAUUCCCUCCGAAAAA